Molecule: ribosomal RNA, 240 nt
Filed under: uncultured bacterium
Lineage: Bacteria
Description: partial 16S ribosomal RNA
Rfam family: Bacterial small subunit ribosomal RNA
Source: RNAcentral
GAUCCUGGCUCAGGAUGAACGCUAGCUAUAGGCUUAACACAUGCAAGUCGAGGGGAAACGGCAUUAUGUGCUUGCACAUUUUGGACGUCGACCGGCGCACGGGUGAGUAUCGCGUAUCCAACCUGCCCUUUACUUGGGGAUACCCCGUUGAAAGACGGCCUAAUACCCGAUGUAAUUCAUUGAUGGCAUCAGAUAUGAAUAAAAGAUUUAUCGGUAAAGGAUGGGGAUGCGUCUGAUUAG